ACGGUACCGGAAGAAGAAGCACCGGCUAACUACGUGCCAGCAGCCGCGGUAAUACGUAGGGUGCGAGCGUUAAUCGGAAUUACUGGGCGUAAAGCGUGCGCAGGCGGUUAUGUAAGACAGAUGUGAAAUCCCCGGGCUCAACCUGGGAACUGCGUUUGUGACUGCAUAACUAGAGUACGGCAGAGGGAGGUGGAAUUCCGCGUGUAGCAGUGAAAUGCGUAGAUAUGCGGAGGAACACCGAUGGCGAAGGCAGCCUCCUGGGCCAGUACUGACGCUCAUGCACGAAAGCGUGGGGAGCAAACAGGAUUAGAUACCCUGGUAGUCCACGCCCUAAACGAUGUCAACUAGUUGUUCGGUGAGGAGACUCAUUGAGUAACGCAGCUAACGCGUGAAGUUGACCGCCUGGGGAGUACGGCCGCAAGGUUAAAACUCAAAGGAAUUGACGGGGACCCGCACAAGCGGUGGAUGAUGUGGAUUAAUUCGAUGCAACGCGAAAAACCUUACCUACCCUUGACAUGCCAGGAACUUGCCAGAGAUGGCUUGGUGCUCGAAAG
Molecule: ribosomal RNA, 554 nt
Filed under: uncultured bacterium
Lineage: Bacteria
Description: bacterial SSU rRNA
Rfam family: Bacterial small subunit ribosomal RNA
Source: RNAcentral